RNAcentral lists this ribosomal RNA (1099 nucleotides) under fungal endophyte. RNAcentral's name for it is "eukaryotic LSU rRNA". The stretch from base 522 to 1099 matches the Rfam family "Eukaryotic large subunit ribosomal RNA", at positions 1 to 591 of the family's 3401-position model. Lineage: Eukaryota; Fungi. The record is from RNAcentral.
UGCUGGAGCGUCUUGAUGGCGCACCCAGAUACCCUAUGUGAACUUGUACCAUUUUGUUGCCUCGGCGCUGGCUGGGAGCUUUUGUAAACUCCCCCUCCGUUCGCGCGGAGGAGCAGGCCCGCCGACGGCCCUGAAUCCACACUCUUGUUUUGCAUACUUGUUUCUUCUGAGUAUACUUGAUAAAUAAAUCAAAACUUUCAACAACGGAUCUCUUGGUUCUGGCAUCGAUGAAGAACGCAGCGAAAUGCGAUAAGUAAUGUGAAUUGCAGAAUUCAGUGAAUCAUCGAAUCUUUGAACGCACAUUGCGCCCGCUGGUAUUCCAGCGGGCAUGCCUGUUCGAGCGUCAUUUCAACCCUCAAGCUCUGCUUGGUGUUGGGGCGCUGCCACUCCUCCUCUGCGGAGAGGCAGGCCCUGAAAUUCAGUGGCGAGCUCGCCAGGACUCCGAGCGUAGUAGUGUAUAACCUCGCUUAGGAAGGACUGGUGAUGCCCUGCCGUAAAACCCCCCCCAAUUUCUGAAUAGUUGACCUCGGAUCAGGUAGGAAUACCCGCUGAACUUAAGCAUAUCAAUAAGCGGAGGAAAAGAAACCAACAGGGAUUGCCCUAGUAACGGCGAGUGAAGCGGCAACAGCUCAAAUUUGAAAUCUGGCUUCGGCCCGAGUUGUAAUUUGCAGAGGAUGCUUCUGGCGCGGUGCCUUCCGAGUUCCCUGGAACGGGACGCCAUAGAGGGUGAGAGCCCCGUAUGGUUGGAUACCAAGCCUGUGUGAAGCUCCUUCGACGAGUCGAGUAGUUUGGGAAUGCUGCUCCAAAUGGGAGGUAAAUCUCUUCUAAAGCUAAAUACCGGCCAGAGACCGAUAGCGCACAAGUAGAGUGAUCGAAAGAUGAAAAGCACCUUGAAAAGGGGGUUAAAUAGUACGUGAAAUUGUUGAAAGGGAAGCGCUUGUGACCAGACUUGCGCCAGGCGGUUCAUCCGGCGUUCUCGCCGGUGCACUCCGCCUGGUUCAGGCCAGCAUCGGUUCUCGUGGGGGGAUAAGAACGGUGGGAAUGUGGCUCCUCUCGGGGAGUGUUAUAACCCAUCGUACGAUACCCUCGCGGGGACCGA